UCUCCGUAGGUGAACCUGCGGAAGGAUCAUUCAUAAUAAAGUGUUUUAUGGCACUUUUUAAAACUCCAUAUCCACCUUGUGUUCAAUGUUCGAUCUCGUCGAUCUUGCCGAGAUUUUUAUACACCAACUCAUUCUAUCACUAAUUUGUCUGUAAAAUAUUAUGAAUACUUAAUUCUAAAUACAACUCUCAACAACGGAUCUCUUGGUUCUC
RNAcentral lists this unclassified non-coding RNA (211 nucleotides) under plant metagenome. RNAcentral describes it as "partial contains small subunit ribosomal RNA, internal transcribed spacer 1, and 5.8S ribosomal RNA". The record is from RNAcentral.